UCCAGUGGUUCUCAACACUUCAACAGGACUGAACAACAUUUGUGAAAUGUUUAGGACCACUGGACCUGAGGCAAGGAACUGUCAUCAGGCAGAGGACACAGACACCUGGACUCACCUUGGCUCACCUGGACUCACCUGGGCUCACCUGGACUCACCUGGACUGUGUGUUUCCCUCAGGGGCGGCACGGUGGUGUGGUGGUUAGCACUCUCGCCUCACAGCAAGAGGGUUGCCGGUUCGAUCCCGGGUGUGGGAGCCCUUCUGUGCGGAGUUUGCAUGUUCUCCCCGUGUCAGCGUGGGUUCUCUCCGGGCACUCCGGCUUCCUCCCACAGUCCAAAGACAUGCAGAUUGGGGACUAGGUUAAUUGAUAACUCUAAAUUGUCCGUAGGU
This is a long non-coding RNA of Epinephelus moara (kelp grouper), 388 nucleotides long. RefSeq lists it as uncharacterized. The record is from RefSeq and is a predicted model, not a curated record. Lineage: Eukaryota; Metazoa; Chordata; Actinopteri; Perciformes; Serranidae. The transcript is spliced from 2 exons.